AGAGGCCUACGGGGGGCAGCAGUGGGGAAUAUCGGGCAAUGGGCGCAAGCCUGACCCAGCAACGCCGCGUGAAGGAAGAAGGCUUUCGGGUUGUAAACUUCUUUUGUCAGGGACGAAGCAAGUGACGGUACCUGACGAAUAAGCCACGGCUAACUACGUGCCAGCAGCCGCGGUAAUACGUAGGUGGCAAGCGUUAUCCGGAUUUAUUGGGUGUAAAGGGCGUGUAGGCGGGAAUGGAAGUCAGAUGUGAAAACUAUGGGCUCAAACCAUAGACUGGAUUUGAAAAUGGAUUUCUUGAGUGUUGG
This 305-nucleotide ribosomal RNA is filed under the name uncultured bacterium. Its description in RNAcentral is "bacterial SSU rRNA". It matches the Rfam family "Bacterial small subunit ribosomal RNA", at positions 333 to 652 of the family's 1533-position model. The record is from RNAcentral.